GAUGAACGCUGGCGGCGUGCCUAAUACAUGCAAGUCGAGCGAACGGACGAGAAGCUUGCUUCUCUGAUGUUAGCGGCGGACGGGUGAGUAACACGUGGAUAACCUACCUAUAAGACUGGGAUAACUUCGGGAAACCGGAGCUAAUACCGGAUAAUAUUUUGAACCGCAUGGUUCAAAAGUGAAAGACGGUCUUGCUGUCACUUAUAGAUGGAUCCGCGCUGCAUUAGCUAGUUGGUAAGGUAACGGCUUACCAAGGCAACGAUGCAUAGCCGACCUGAGAGGGUGAUCGGCCACACUGGAACUGAGACACGGCCCAGACUCCUACGGGAGGCAGCAGUAGGGAAUCUUCCGCAAUGGGCGAAAGCCUGACGGAGCAACGCCGCGUGAAUGAUGAAGGUCUUCGGAUCGUAAAACUCUGUUAUUAGGGAAGAACAUAUGUGUAAGUAACUGUGCACAUCUUGACGGUACCUAAUCAGAAAGCCACGGCUAACUACGUG
RNAcentral lists this ribosomal RNA (497 nucleotides) under uncultured bacterium. RNAcentral's name for it is "partial 16S ribosomal RNA". It matches the Rfam family "Bacterial small subunit ribosomal RNA", at positions 28 to 507 of the family's 1533-position model. The record is from RNAcentral.